This 69-nucleotide transfer RNA is filed under the name Neohylomys hainanensis (Hainan gymnure). Its description in RNAcentral is "tRNA-Met". It matches the Rfam family "tRNA". From Rfam's summary of the family: Transfer RNA (tRNA) molecules are approximately 80 nucleotides in length. Their secondary structure includes four short double-helical elements and three loops (D, anti-codon, and T loops). Further hydrogen bonds mediate the characteristic L-shaped molecular structure. tRNAs have two regions of fundamental functional importance: the anti-codon, which is responsible for specific mRNA codon recognition, and the 3' end, to which the tRNAs corresponding amino acid is attached (by aminoacyl-tRNA synthetases). tRNAs cope with the degeneracy of the genetic code in two manners: having more than one tRNA (with a specific anti-codon) for a particular amino acid; and 'wobble' base-pairing, i.e. permitting non-standard base-pairing at the 3rd anti-codon position. Lineage: Eukaryota; Metazoa; Chordata; Mammalia; Eulipotyphla; Erinaceidae. The record is from RNAcentral.
AGUAGGGUAAGCUAAUUAAGCUAUCGGGCCCAUACCCCGAAAAUGUUGGUCUCAAUCCUUCCCAUACUA